RNAcentral lists this ribosomal RNA (2100 nucleotides) under human gut metagenome. RNAcentral describes it as "bacterial LSU rRNA". It matches the Rfam family "Bacterial large subunit ribosomal RNA", at positions 3 to 2012 of the family's 2925-position model. The record is from RNAcentral.
UUAAGCUAUGUAGGGCACACGGCGGAUGCCUUGGCGCUGAGAGGCGAAGAAGGACGUUGUAGACUGCGAAAAGCUUCGGGGAGUUGUCAAACGAACUGUGAUCCGGAGAUGUCCGAAUGGGGAAACCCGGCAGUGCGAUAAGUGCUGUCACUCUGAAGUCAAUUCAUAGCUUCAGGAGAGCGAACGCGGAGAACUGAAACAUCUAAGUACCCGCAGGAAGAGAAAGAAUGAUCGAUUCCCCCAGUAGCGGCGAGCGAAAAGGGAUGAGCCUAAAUGUAUAUGUGUGUAAGUGUUACAGCGUUGCCAUAUACAAGUUGUGGGAUUCUUUGUUGCAUUGUGUAACCAGUGCGGCUCAUGGAGAAAAGAAAACGGAACGGAACUGGAAAGUCAGGCCAGAGCGGGUAAUAGCCCCGUACGUGAAACUUUUCUUACCGAGUAGAAGAACACCCGAGUACAACGGGACACGUGGAACCCUGUUGGAAUCAGCGAGGACCACCUCGCAAGGCUAAAUACUCCUCAGCGACCGAUAGUGAACGAGUACCGUGAGGGAAAGGUGAAAAGCACCCCUGCGAGGGGAGUGAAAGAGACCCUGAAACCGUGUGCCUGCAAACCUUUGGAGCCCGUUGGACGCAAGUCGAGGGUGACAGAGUACCUUUUGCAUAAUGAGUCAGCGAGUUACGUUUUGUCGCAAGGUUAAAUCGACGAAGAGAUGGAGCCGAAGCGAAAGCGAGUCUGAAUAGGGCGAGUAGUGGCAGGACGUAGACCCGAAGCCGUGUGAUCUAUGCAUGAUCAGGUUGAAAGAGCGGUAAAGCGCUGUGGAGGACCGAACCCACCAAGGUUGAAAACUUGGGGGAUGAAUUGUGCAUAGGGGUGAAAGGCCAAUCAAACUCGGAGAUAGCUGGUUCUCCCCGAAAUAUAUUUAGGUAUAGCCUCAUGUAUCUGACUAGGAGGUAAAGCACUGACUGAGUGCGGGGUCUUCCCAGAUUACCAAGCUCAUUCAAACUCUGAAUGCCUAGUCUGCAGAACAUGGGAGUCAGACUGCGAGCGAUAAGGUCCGUAGUCGAGAGGGUAAGAGCCCAGACCGCCAGCUAAGGUCCCUAAAUCCGUCUAAGUGGAAAAGGAUGUGAAAGCGCAGAGACAACCAGGAAGUUGGCUUAGAAGCAGCCAACCUUUAAAGAAAGCGUAAUAGCUCACUGGUCCAGCGAAUUUGCGCCGAAGAUGUACCGGGGCUCAAGACGGGUACCGAAGCUGCGGACUCAUACUUUAGUGUAUGAGUGGUAGGGGAGCAUUGAAGCGCGCUGUGAAGCGAAACCGACGAGGCAUCGUGGAGCGCCUUCAAGAGCAGAUGCUGACAUGAGUAACGAUAAAAUAUGUGAGAAACAUAUUCGCCGUAAGCCCAAGGUUUCCCGGGCCAGGAUUUUCCUCCCGGGGUGAGUCGGGACCUAAGACGAGGCAGAAAUGCGUAGUCGAUGGAAAGCAGGUUAAUAUUCCUGCACCGCAAAUGAUGUGUUUGAACUACAGUGGGGACGGAGAAGGUUAGGUGAGCCAGAUAGUUGGUAACUGGUUUAAGCCCGUAGGAAGGCGUUAUAGGACGCGAUAGCGACAAACGUAAUGCCAAUUUCGAGAGGCGAUGAAGCGCGGCUGAAAGUCGCACCAAUUCACUGAUACCAUGCUCCCAGGAAAAGCCACGGUGGUGAAUAUCAUGUGUGCUCGUACCGCAAACCGACACAGGUGGGCUGGAAGAAUAUUCCAAGGCGCUUGAGAGACCCCUGGUUAAGGAACUCGGCAAAUUAGCACUGUAACUUCGGGAAAAGGUGUGCCUGCUAUGGUCAAGAGCCUCGCGCUCGUAGCCGGAGAGUGGGUUGCAGAGAAAUAGUGGUAGCGACUGUUUACUAAAAACACAGGACUCUGCUAAGUCGCAAGACGAUGUAUAGGGUCUGACGCCUGCCCGGUGCCGGAAGGUUAAGAGGAGCUGUCAUCCGCAAGGAGAAGCAGUGAAUUGAAGCCCCGGUAAACGGCGGCCGUAACUAUAACGGUCCUAAGGUAGCGAAAUUCCUUGUCGGGUAAGUUCCGACCUGCACGAAUGGCGUAACGACUUCC